RNAcentral lists this ribosomal RNA (326 nucleotides) under uncultured eukaryote. Its description in RNAcentral is "partial 18S ribosomal RNA". It matches the Rfam family "Eukaryotic small subunit ribosomal RNA", at positions 1470 to 1796 of the family's 1831-position model. The record is from RNAcentral.
CCCUUAGAUGUUCUGGGCCGCACGCGCGCUACACUGAUGCAUUCAACGAGCCUAUCCUUGACCGAGAGGUCCGGGUAAUCUUUGAAACUGCAUCGUGAUGGGGCUAGAUUAUUGCAAUUAUUAAUCUUCAACGAGGAAUGCCUAGUAAGCGUGAUUCAUCAAAUCGCGUUGAUUACGUCCCUGCCCUUUGUACACACCGCCCGUCGCUCCUACCGAUUGAGUGUGUUGGUGAGGAGUUUGGAUUGGCCUCGGAAGGUGGUUCGCCACCGUCCGUAGCUGAGAAGUUCUCCAAACCGCCCCACUUAGAGGAAGGAGAAGUCGUANCA